CGAAAUGUGGUGAAGCUGAUGGGAUGCUGCCUAGAGACGGAGGUUCCUCUGCUGGUGUAUGAAUUCGUGUCAAAUGGGACUCUACAUAGCCAUAUUCAUGACGAGAACAGGUUUAAUAAUAAUUCUCUGUCUUGGGAAGACCGGAUGAGAAUAGCAACAGAAACGGCAGGAGCUCUUGCGUACCUGCACUCGGCCGCGUCCGUGCCCAUCAUUCACAGAGACGUGAAGUCGGCGAACAUACUGUUGGACAGGAAAUGCACUGCAAAAGUGGCCGAUUUUGGAGCAUCGAAGUUUAUCCCGAUGGAUCAGUCGCA
This 314-nucleotide long non-coding RNA is filed under the name Cucumis sativus (cucumber). Its description in RNAcentral is "long non-coding RNA (CSAT_LNC001733)". Lineage: Eukaryota; Viridiplantae; Streptophyta; Magnoliopsida; Cucurbitales; Cucurbitaceae. The record is from RNAcentral.